AUCUCUUGGUUCCAGCAUCGAUGAAGAACGCAGCGAAAUGCGAUAAGUAAUGUGAAUUGCAGAAUUCAGUGAAUCAUCGAAUCUUUGAACGCACAUUGCGCCCCUCGGUAUUCCGAGGGGCAUGCCUGUCCGAGCGUCAUU
RNAcentral lists this ribosomal RNA (141 nucleotides) under Platismatia glauca. RNAcentral's name for it is "5.8S ribosomal RNA". It matches the Rfam family "5.8S ribosomal RNA". From Rfam's summary of the family: 5.8S ribosomal RNA (5.8S rRNA) is a component of the large subunit of the eukaryotic ribosome. It is transcribed by RNA polymerase I as part of the 45S precursor that also contains 18S and 28S rRNA. The record is from RNAcentral. Lineage: Eukaryota; Fungi; Ascomycota; Lecanoromycetes; Lecanorales; Parmeliaceae.